GAGAUAAUUCUAUUCGAGGAGUGAAUUCUAGUAAUAAAUUGUGAGUGGAUGUAAUCCCAAUAUAGAUGAAUAAGAAAAUACAAAAAGUAAUCAAGGUUUUUUAAAAGAAUCACCUAAUAGACCUGGAAACAUUGGAUGACAAAGUUAAGGGAAGGAAGAGGGAGUGGCAACGAAAGACCUCUUGAAAAAAGAUGGCAUUUGAGGUAAGUACUGAUGGAAGCCAAGAAUUCAAAGGAGAAGAAGGAGAGCAUUCUAGACAAGUGGGAAAGCAUAGAGAAGAGAGAAUCACAUAUGCAGCAAGUAGAGUGAUAGAGCUGGACCAUGGAAUAUGUAACGGAAAGCCAUCUAUAAAAAGACUGGAAAGAUUUCAUCUGUGGAUUUCUCUGGACCAACAUCAGUGUUUCCCCUCUGAGAAACAUAUGUGUCUUAGUGGCAAUAGACAUGGGAAGAAGAUCAAUAUGAUUGUCAAAGUCUGCAUAAAGGUGAUUCCUGGAUGGAAGCCAUCAUUCUCCUGAGAUCCCUAUAUACAUGGUUAGAAACUAUGAGUAUAUUAAAAGUACUAAUGACAGCAUGAAUACAAGUUUUUGUUCUGAGCAAUAUAUAUUCUUAUUCCUUGAAUAAAUUCACAGGUAUAUUUAAGGUUUCCA
Molecule: long non-coding RNA, 647 nt
Filed under: Monodelphis domestica (gray short-tailed opossum)
Lineage: Eukaryota; Metazoa; Chordata; Mammalia; Didelphimorphia; Didelphidae
Description: lncRNA (ENSMODG00000041533.1)
Source: RNAcentral